Long non-coding RNA from Oncorhynchus keta (chum salmon), 243 nucleotides. RefSeq lists it as uncharacterized. The transcript has 3 exons. The record is from RefSeq and is a predicted model, not a curated record. Lineage: Eukaryota; Metazoa; Chordata; Actinopteri; Salmoniformes; Salmonidae.
CAGGUAGUGUACUUGUUAAACUCAGGUAGUUUGUCCAGGUCUAGCAGGGCAGAGUCAGACAGAGACAGGUAGUGUACUUGUUAAACUCAGGUAGUUUGUCCAGGUCUAGCAGGGCAGAGUCAGACAGAGACAGGUAGUGUACUUGUUAAACUCAGGUAGUUUGUCCAGGUCUAGCAGGGCAGAGUCAGACAGAGACAGGUAGUGUACUUGUUAAACUCAGGUAGUUUGUCCAGGUCUAGCAGG